AAUCUACCUUUCACAGAGGGAUAGCCCAGAGAAAUUUGGAUUAAUACCUCAUAGUAUAGUACCUUGGCAUCAAGGAACUAUUAAAGAUUUAUCGGUGAAAGAUGAGCAUGCGUCCCAUUAGCUAGAUGGUAAGGUAACGGCUUACCAUGGCUACGAUGGGUAGGGGUCCUGAGAGGGAGAUCCCCCACACUGGUACUGAGACACGGACCAGACUCCUACGGGAGGCAGCAGUGAGGAAUAUUGGUCAAUGGGCGCAAGCCUGAUCCAGCCAUGCCGCGUGCAGGAAGAAGGUCCUAUGGAUUGUAAACUGCUUUUAUACAGGAAGAAACACCUCUACGUGUAGAGACUUGACGGUACUGUAUGAAUAAGGACCGGCUAACUCCGUGCCAGCAGCCGCGGUAAUACGGAGGGUCCAAGCGUUAUCCGGAAUCAUUGGGUUUAAAGGGUCCGUAGGCGGCCAAAUAAGUCAGUGGUGAAAGCCCAUCGCUCAACGAUGGAACGGCCAUUGAUACUGUUUGGCUUGAAUUAUUAGGAAGUAACUAGAAUAUGUAGUGUAGCGGUGAAAUGCUUAGAGAUUACAUGGAAUACCAAUUGCGAAGGCAGGUUAC
RNAcentral lists this ribosomal RNA (608 nucleotides) under uncultured bacterium. Its description in RNAcentral is "bacterial SSU rRNA". It matches the Rfam family "Bacterial small subunit ribosomal RNA", at positions 123 to 729 of the family's 1533-position model. The record is from RNAcentral.